AGUCGAACGGGAAAUAUUUUAUUGAUACUUCGGUGGAUUUAAUUUAUUUCUAGUGGCGGACGGGUGAGUAACGCGUGGGUAACCUGCCUUAUACCGGGGGAUAACAGCCAGAAAUGGCUGCUAAUACCGCAUAAGCGCACAGAACCGCAUGGUUCCGUGUGAAAAACUCCGGUGGUAUAAGAUGGACCCGCGUUGGAUUAGCUAGUUGGCAGGGCAGCGGCCUACCAAGGCGACGAUCCAUAGCCGGCCUGAGAGGGUGAACGGCCACAUUGGGACUGAGACACGGCCCAGACUCCUACGGGAGGCAGCAGUGGGGAAUAUUGCACAAUGGGGGAAACCCUGAUGCAGCGACGCCGCGUGAAGGAAGAAGUAUCUCGGUAUGUAAACUUCUAUCAGCAGGGAAGAUAAUGACGGUACCUGACUAAGAAGCCCCGGCUAACUACGUGCCAGCAGCCGCGGUAAUACGUAGGGGGCAAGCGUUAUCCGGAUUUACUGGGUGUAAAGGGAGCGUAGACGGCGCAGCAAGUCUGAUGUGAAAGGCAGGGGCUUAACCCCUGGACUGCAUUGGAAACUGCUGUGCUUGAGUGCCGGAGGGGUAAGCGGAAUUCCUAGUGUAGCGG
Molecule: ribosomal RNA, 620 nt
Filed under: uncultured bacterium
Lineage: Bacteria
Description: bacterial SSU rRNA
Rfam family: Bacterial small subunit ribosomal RNA
Source: RNAcentral